This 7398-nucleotide long non-coding RNA is filed under the name Ananas comosus (pineapple). Its description in RNAcentral is "long non-coding RNA (ACOM_LNC011933)". The record is from RNAcentral. Lineage: Eukaryota; Viridiplantae; Streptophyta; Magnoliopsida; Poales; Bromeliaceae.
UUUUUGAUACGAGCCCCCCCCCCCAGACCCGAUCCACCUCUCUCUUUCGCUCGAUCCCCCUCUCAUCUCUACGCCCGUACGACUUCCGCCGAUCCCCUUUGUGCACGCGCGACGCCAUCCGUUCCCUAUCGUCGCCGCCGUCAUCCGUAGCCGCCUCCACCGCGUUGCUCAUUGGCCAUUAUUUCCUUUUGGUUCGUUAUCGACGGAAUCUUGCCGUCGUCUCCACCGUUUUCAAGAAGGUUUUUCUCUUUCCCUCAUUUUACCUUUGUAUCGGAUCUUGUGAGCACCCAACCUCUCUCUAUUCGUCGUUAUAUUUUAUUAUUUUGAAUACUCGUUUCUUGAUUAUUGAAAAUUAAAAUCAUUAAAAUCUGAUUUCAUAAUUCCUAAUCCCGUCAUUUGAGCCAGCAUUUUAUAUAUUGUAUCCUCUGUAUGAUCUUGUUGCUUAAUACUUCACAUACUACACAUUUAUUGGAAUGUCGCUAUGUUUCGCAAAAUGCUAAGAGAAAGCAUGUGUUGUUUGUUUUGAAAUCUUUAUCCCAUUCGAUUGUAAAUCGUAAAAUUCGUUUAUAUAGGUAUAAACCCUCUGUUUGAGCAUUAAGAUCCUCGUUUAUUAUUUAAAAUUUCCGUUCAUAUUAUCUUCUUGGAAUAUCCAAAUCCUUCAAAAAAAAAAAACUCCUUCAUUCUUUGAUCGCUAUUUGAGGUUCGUCGAAAUUAUUGUUCAAAUCCAUUUGUGCCCCAUCCCGACCUAGUUGCAUAUAAUUAUAUUAUCUUUGAUAUUCAUUUUAGUUAGCUUAUAGGAGACGCGUGUCUCUAUUUUUAGGUCCCGACGAUUGAAUUUCAGCACAUUUUCGACUGGAUAGUUCUCAUUUGAAGCUACUUAAGAGCGACCGAACACCCGUUAGUUUUUGUAAGAUAAUUAGGAAAAUAUUUUGAUUGUAUGAAAAUCUUAUUUUUGUAGAAUUUAAUUAAGGGUUAAGCAUAUUAUAAAUAUCUCUGUAAAUUGAGUUUCAAUUGUGAUUGACAAUUUGUUUAGCAAAAGAAUUUUUGAAAUCUGAUAAUUUAUUCUGCAAAUUAGUGACUGACAUAUUUUUGAAUUAUAAUGUCUCUUGGUAUUCUGCUAUGCUAAUGUUGGCCAUGUCGACAUGUACUUUGUUAUGGAAGCAAGCUUCGUCUUUGUUGCGGCCUCCGGGCUGCCUGCGCCUAUCCGCGCCUCUAUUUUGUUUGCGCCUUCGGGUGCCUGCGCCUAUCCGCGCCUUUGUUUUGUUUGCGCCUUCGGGUGCCUCUGCUUUGUUUACGCCUUCGGGUCUUUGGAUCUCGCCAACGGAUCAUAAGAUAUAGUUAAGUGCCGGAGACAAUAUUUAUUUUGUUAUAUGUCGAAAGGGAAAUCUUUGAAAUAUAUAGUUUCAAUCCGAUCCGAAUUUGAAUUUUGAUAAAUUCUUAUUUCUUAAAUUUGCAAUUAAAACCAGUCGCUUGAACUAAUGUUGUAUCCAUUUAUUGUAUGCUUAAUCCGACUAAUGUGGUGUAUGGUUGCUUACCCCAGGUACUGAGACGAUUCGCAGGGCGGGCUGGGAGCGAGUGAACGUUAGAUGUAGCUAGAUUUGAUUCUAGCCUCUUCGUCUUAUUUCUAUUGCAUUUAGAUAUGAACUUUGAACUUCGUAGAUAAUCAUCGUUUAUCUGUUCCUACUUUAUUGUUUCUUCGUACCUACAUAUCUCUUAGAACAAUUUCGGUUGUGUUGCAUCAUAAACUUUAUUUUGCUUAUAGGAUACUUCAGUUGAUUUUAGUUGCAAUUAAAUUGUUAGCCUCAUUUUCGACUAUUUGGAUUUAAUAGAAAUUUCUCUUAUGAUCAUCUUUUGUUUUGUAAUUGUCUGACUUCUGUAGCCUUGCAUAUUUUACUAAUUUAGUAGAUAUGCGGCAUCUGUUAUGCCUCGGGUUUGGGGCGUGACAGAGAAAUGGUAUCAGAGCCUAGGGUUAAGAUCUUUUUGUAACUUUAAGGUAUAGGAUUGUGAGAGUUUAUUAGGACGGUGAGGAUGGGUAAAAGUAGACGCCGUGUUUGAUCCUAUUUGAUUAUUGUUACAGUUUUCGUUAAUGUUUUCAUUUACGUGUUGUGAUAUCCUCUCUUGUUAAGAUGGUGCGUCCGACCCGCUAGCAACACCAAUAAUGAGCAACCGAGGAACCCGCCUCCAGCCAGAUCCGGAGAUGCAGAUCUAGACGUCACCUUAGCCUCACUUUUGAAUACCACGUCCUCGGAGCCGUUCCACCUAUCCAGAAUCCGCUUCAGUCAACCAUAGCGCUCCAACGAACCCUUCGGCUUUGUUCCAGCUCGUGCAGCAGACUUUUAGUAUGGGGAUACUCCGACGGCCGCCCCCAUACCUUUUCGUUCCGCGUCCACUGCACCUUCUGGUUUGUUCCACCGCCGCCACAACCUAUAUUCCCACCCACUCCGCGCAGUUUACCGCAGAGCACCACGAUGGACCCCCCUGGUGCCACCCUGAUACAAGCUGUUGUCGGACUAGUUCAGACUCAACAGCAAAAUUUACAGCAGAAUCCAGCUCUAGCCGCGGAUCAAGUUCCAGAGUUCGAGAGAGGAGCAUCAAUGAAUUUAAGAAGUCUGCUCCUCCACCUUUUUCCGGCGCUACAAAUCCGGAUGAAGCGAAAAUUGGAUCAAGGAGAUGGAAAAAGCAUUUACGGCCAUGCAGUGCACGGAUGAAGAGAAAGUCAGAUUUGGGACAUUCAUGCUUCAAGGCAGAGCGAAUAAUUGGUGGGAAAGCGAGUUGAGAACUCGCAGGUAGCAACUUAUCAGCCAUUUCGUGAGGAUUUUCGAUCGGCGUUUUAUGCUAAGCUUUCCAAUGAGUAAACUCCGCCAGCUCAGAGGCAAUUCUAGAUCUAAAGCAAGGGUCAACGUCUGUAGAGGAGUACGAGCCCGAGUUUGAUCGACUCUCUCAGUUUGCCCGAAAAUUGGUGAUGAUAACGAAUCGGGGCGGCCAAAAGGUUUGAAGAAGGACUGAAUGGAUAUAUCCGUACUGGCUUGCGCCUCUACACCUUGAGACAUACGACGAGGUUGUCUCAGGGCAAAAUCCUUAGAUUCAGUAUGGAGACAGACUCGAGAGGAGCGCAAUGCAAUCAGAAGAAGAGAAAUAGAGAUUCUUUCAGAAAGGAGAUCGGAAUGCAAGAGGGUCGGACAGAUCUAGUGAUUUGGAGAUCGCGUAAUACGCCAACUCCUCAUGGUGGACCACCAAAUCGGGAUCAGAAGUCAAAAUGCUCAGUUUGUGGAGGGCACAUAAGGAUUCGACUGCAGACAUGUGACGUGGGUUGCUUCAGAUGCGGGACUUGAACCAUCGAUAGCUCAGUGUCCUUUACUUAGCACUGACUCUAGCACUGGAUCCAAGCUCAGGAGAAAUUUGCUGCUUCAGCUAGUCGUGACGUGCCCCUCUCUACUGGUCAGCCUAGAGUGGAAGGCCUCGAACGCAGGGUCGUGUCCAGGCUCUCUCUCAGCAGGAUGCCCAGGCAUCUAAUGCCGUGGCUCGGUAUUCUGCCCGUAAAUUCUGCUUUUGCCUAUGUUCUCUUUGAUUCUGGAGCUACACAUUCUUUUGUAUCUUCUGCUUUUGUUCGAAAGUCUAUGUUACCCUCUGAACCUUGAUUAUACUUUAUGUGUUGGUACACCUUUGGGGGAGGAUUGUGAUUGACGCGAGUUUGUAGGAGCAUGGUCAGAUUGGAUAAUAGGAGCUUAUUGCAAAUCUUCAUGUUAUGGACAUGCCGACUUUGAUGUGAUUUUGGGAUGGACUGGCUUUCGUCCCACUUUGCCACUUUGAAUGUCGGGAGAAGCGGGUGGAAUUCAACAUUCUCUGGGGAGGCAAAUUUUGCUUUUCUUGGGAAUGGAGCUUACACCCCACCUCCGAUCAUUCUUCCUGCAAGCUACUCGUCUCUUAAGGAGUGCUGCGCGGUGAUUUGUGGCGCUGGUGAAAGAUCUGAAUUUAAUUACUCCGAGAUUAGAAGACAUCUCGGUAGUAAAUGAAUUUCCGGAUGUUUUUCCAGAAGACCUCCCUGGGCUAACGCCAGAUAGGGAAGAUUGAAUUUCGUGUUGAUUUAGCUCCAGAACAAAUCCAAUUCAAAGACACCUUACGGAUGUCACCAAGUUGAGCUCAGGAACUGCAAUGCACUUAAGCAACUUCUGGACAAGGGAUUCAUUAGACCGAGUGUCUCUCUUGGGGCGCUCCAGUACUUUCGUCAAGAAGAAGGAUGUACUAUGAGAUUAUGUAUCGAUUAUCGUGAGCUAAACAGAAUGACUGUGAAGAAUCGAUUUACCAAGAAUCGACGACUAUAUUGAUCAGUUCGAGGUGCAGAAGUCUUUUCCAAGAUUGAUCUACGAUCAGGAUACCAUCAGCUGAAGGUCAGAGCCGAAGAUAUACCCAAAACUGGCUUUUCGCACACGCUAUGGCAUUACGAGUUCCUAGUAAUGCUAUUGACUAACGCUCCAGCCGCUUUCAUGGAUCUGAUGAAUAGAGUAUUCAAACUUUCUUGGAUAAGUUAUUCAUAGACGACAUUCUGGUGUACUCUAGCAGUUCAGCUGAGCAUAAGAAACAUCUCAGGAUAGUUUUGAAACUCUUCGACAAAGAACUCUACGCCUAAGUUUAAAGUGUGAAUUUGGUUGCAAAGUGUUUCCUCUCUCGGACAUAUUGUGUCUAAGGAAGGUAUUUCAGUGGAUCCUUCAAAGAUAGAAGCUGUGAAAAAUUGCCACGACAAGCAACGUCACAGGUUCGAAGUUUUGUGGCUUAGCAGGAUACUAUAGAAGAUUUGUGGAGGUUUCUCCGCCUAGCUGCACCAUUGACUCAGUUGACACGAAAAGGAGUUAAAUUUCAGUGGUCGGAUAAAUGUGAACAAAGCUUUUUGGAAUUGAAGAAACGCUUAAUAUCAGACCUAUCCUUACCUUACCUAUUAGUGGUGAGGGAUUCACUAUUUACAGUGAUGCCUCGAAAAGGAUUGGGAUGCGUCCUGAUGCAGAAUGACAAAGUGAUUGCCUAUGCUUCCGACAGCUGGCCAUUCGAGGAAACUACCCGACCCAACGCCUAGAAUUGGCACAGUAAUCUUUGCACUGAAAAUUUGGAGACAUUACCUCUACGGCGAGCCUUGUGAGAUUUUUACCGACCACAAAAGUUUAAAAGUACAUCUUCACACAGAAAGAACUUAACAUGCGACAAAGAAGGUGGCUAGAACUAUUGAAGACUACGAUGUGACCAUCAAGUAUCAUCCGGGUAAGGCCAACGUCGUAGCGGAUGCCCUCAUCAGAAAAUCAAUAGGAAUAUAGCGACAUUGGUUACUUCUCAGCGACAUAUUUUAGAGGAUCUCAGACGGCUCGACAUAGAAAUUCACAUCCAUGGGUCUGAAGCUCAUCUAGCUAACCUGCAGGUUCAACCUACACUGAUUGAUAGGAUCAAGUCAGCCCAGGCGAAUGACAUUCAUCUUAGAGAGACACGACAUUUAGUGGAAUCAGGAGCACACAUCGGAGUUUAGAAUUCACGAAGAUGGCUCUUUGAGAUUUAGGAACCGUUUACGUUCCUAAGAAUCCGGAUUUAAAAACGAAAUUUUGAAGAGGCUCAUUAUUCGGGAUAUUCAGUGCACCCUGGAGGAACCAAAAUGUACAGAGAUUUGAAGAACGUCUUCUGGUGGAGUAACAUGAAAAGGGAGAUUGCAAGAUUCGGGCUAAGUGUUGCUUGCCAGCUGGUGAAAAUCGAUAAGCAGAGAUCACGCCGCUUACUUCAGCCCCUUCCUAUUCCUGAGUGGAAAUGGAGAGAAAACUAUGGAUUUGUUACUCGACUAUCUAGAAGUGAGAAGGGAAAUGACGCAAUUUGGGUCAUAGUUGAUAGAUUGACUAAGUCAGCGCACUUUCUCGCUGUAAAGACGGGUAUGACUUUGGAGAAACUAGCGGAGCUCUAUAUUGCACAAAUAGUACGUCUACAUGGUGUUCCAGUUUCGAUCGUGUCUGAUCGUGAUUCAAGGUUCGUGGCUCAUUUCUGAAAGGAUUACAUAAAGCUUUGGGAACACACUGGACUUCAGUACCCUUCCAUCCGCAGACAGAUGGCCAGUCCGAGAGACGAUUCAAAUUUUAGAAGACAUGUUACGCUCUUGCGUAAUCGAUAUGAAAGGCUCUUGGGACAUCACCUACCAUUGUUUGAGUUUGCCUACAAUAAUAGCUUCCAGGCCAGCAUUCAAAUGGCUCCCUUCGAAGCUUUGUAUUGGAAAGAAGUGCAGAUCCCUCUGUGUUGGGAUGAUGUUGGUGAAGAGAAAGCUACUUGGUCCAGAAUUGUGUGCAACAAACUAUUGAGAAGUUCAUUUUGAUUAAGGAGCAUCUCAGAGCUGCUCAGAGUCGGCAGAAGAGCUACGCUGAUAAUCGAAGACGACCGCUCGAGUUUGACGUGGAGACCGUGUCUUCUUGAAAUGUCACCUUCAAGAGGUAUUAUGCGCUUUGGAAUUCGGGGAAGCUUAGCCCUCGUUAUGUGGGCCCCUUUGAGACUGAAAGAAUUGGUGACGUAGCGUAAGACUUGCCUUACCGCCUUCUUUAGCUGGAGUGCAUAACGUCUUUCAUGUAUCUAUGUUUGAGGAAAUAUGUUCACGAUCCAAGCCACAUUGUAGAGCCGGAACCUUUGCAGCUUAGAGAAGAUCUACUUAUGACGAACAGCCAGUACGUAUGUGGACCGAAAGGAGCAAGUUUUGAGAAGACGGGACCAUUCCAUAUGUUAAAGUCCAAUGGAGCAACCAUUCCGAACGAGAAGCUACUUGGGACUUGAAGAGCAGAUGAGGAUGAAGCACCCUCAACUUUUCAGAGAGCUAAGUGUGUUAAGUUUAGAGGACUAAACUUCUUUUAGGAGGGGUGGAUGUAAACCCCACACUUUUAACUUUUGUUUUGACUCCAAUUUACUUAAGUUUGGACCUUUUUCGUAAUUUCGAUCUUCGAGGGAGUCGGUAGCUUUUUUGUCUGUAAUUAGUCCCUAAACUAAUUAGACCCCUUUUUGUGAUACGAGCCCCCCCCCCUCCAAACCGAUCCAUCUCUCUCUUUCGCUCGAUCCCCUCUCUCUCUACGCCGUACGACCUCCGCCGCCCUUUUGCACGCGCGACACCAUCCGUUCCCUAUCGUCGCCGCCGUCAUCCAUAGCCCCUCCACCGCAUUGCUCAUUGGCCAUUUUUCUUGUGUCGUUAUCGACGGAAUCGCCGCCGUAUUCAACUCAUUUUCGAGAAGGUUUUUCUCUUUCCCUCAUUUUACCUUUGUAUCGGAUCUUGUGAGCACCCAACCUCUCUCUAUUCGUCGUUAUAUUUUAUUAUUUUGAAUACUCGUUUCUUGAUUAUUGAAAAUUGAAAUCAUUAAAAUCUGAUUUCAUAAUUCCUAAUCCUCGUCAUUUGAGCAG